AUGAGUGAAGAACGGUGGGUCUCCCUUACUCCAGAAGAAUUUGACCAGCUCCAGAAAUACUCAGAAUAUUCUUCCAAGAAGAUAAAGGAUGUCUUGGCUGAGUUUAAUGAGGGUGGGAGCCUCAAACAAUAUGAUCCGCAUGAGCCAAUUAGCUAUGAUGUCUUCAAGCUGUUCAUGAGGGCAUACCUGGAGGUGGACCUUCCUCAGCCACUGAGCACGCACCUCUUCCUGGCCUUCAGCCAGAAGCCCAGACAGGAGACCCCUGACCACCCAACGGAGGGGGCCGGCAAUGAGGCCAGUGGCCCAGAUGCCAACAUACAGACUGUGGAUAAUGGUGCCAAAGCAGAUGAGGCCUGUGCCCCUGAUACAGAAUCAAAAAUCACCGAGAAGCAGGUGCCAGCGAAAGGUGAAGUGGCUGCACCCCCCCUGGGAAAUCCUGUUGCUCCAUCUCCAGGCUCAGAAUCCCCCACAGUGUACCUGAAGGAUGUCGUGUGUUACCUGUCCCUGCUGGAGACGGGGAGGCCUCAGGACAAGCUGGAAUUUAUGUUUCGUCUCUAUGAUUCAGAUGAGAACGGUCUCCUGGACCAGGCGGAGAUGGAUCGUAUUGUCAACCAGAUGCUUCACAUUGCCCAGUAUCUGGAGUGGGAUCCCACAGAGCUGAGGCCUAUACUGAAGGAGAUGUUGCAAGGAAUGGACUACGACGGGGACGGCUUUGUGUCUCUAGAGGAAUGGGUCCAUGGAGGGAUGACCACCAUCCCACUGCUUGUCCUGCUGGGCAUGGAUGACUCUGGCUCCAAGGGGGAUGGGAGGCACGCCUGGACCAUGAAACACUUCAAGAAACCCACCUACUGCAACUUCUGCCACAUCAUGCUGAUGGGCGUUCGGAAGCAAGGCCUGUGCUGUGUUUAUUGUAAAUAUACUGUCCAUGAACGCUGUGUAUCCAAAAACAUUCCUGGAUGUGUCAAAACAUACUCAAAAGCCAAAAGGGGUGGUGAGGUGAUGCAGCACGCGUGGGUGGAAGGGAACUCUUCUGUCAAGUGUGACCGGUGCCACAAAAGUAUCAAGUGCUACCAGAGCGUCACCGCGCGGCACUGCGUGUGGUGCCGGAUGACGUUUCACCGCAAAUGUGAAUUAUCAACGUUGUGUGACGGUGGGGAACUGAGAGACCAUAUUUUGCUGCCCACUUCAAUAUGCCCUGUCACCCGGGACAGGCAAGGUGGGAAGUCUGAUGGCAGCGUGUCAGCUAAGGGUGAACUUGUAACGCAGUAUAAGAUCAUCCCCACCCCGGGUACCCACCCCCUGCUGGUCUUGGUGAACCCCAAGAGUGGAGGGAGACAAGGAGAAAGAAUUCUUCGGAAAUUCCACUAUCUGCUCAACCCCAAACAAGUUUUCAACCUGGACAAUGGGGGGCCUACUCCAGGACUGAACUUUUUCCGUGAUACUCCAGACUUCCGUGUUUUAGCCUGUGGCGGAGAUGGGACCGUUGGCUGGAUUCUGGAUUGCAUCGAUAAGGCCAACUUUGCAAAGCACCCACCGGUAGCUGUCCUGCCUCUUGGAACAGGAAAUGACCUGGCCCGCUGUCUCCGCUGGGGAGGAGGUUAUGAAGGGGGCAGCUUGACAAAAAUCCUGAAGGACAUCGAGCAGAGCCCCUUGGUGAUGCUAGACCGCUGGCAUCUGGAAGUCAGCCCCAGAGAAGAGGUGGAGAACGGGGACCAGGUCCCAUACAACAUCAUGAACAACUAUUUCUCCAUUGGUGUGGAUGCUUCCAUUGCACACAGAUUCCACGUGAUGAGAGAGAAGCACCCUGAAAAAUUCAACAGCAGGAUGAAGAACAAGCUGUGGUACUUUGAAUUUGGCACCUCAGAGACCUUUGCGGCCACGUGCAAGAAGCUGCAUGACCACAUAGAGUUGGAGUGUGACGGGGUUGGGGUAGACCUGAGCAGCAUCUUCCUUGAAGGCAUUGCCAUUCUCAACAUUCCCAGCAUGUAUGGAGGCACCAAUCUCUGGGGAGAAACCAAGAAGAACCGGGCUGUGAUACGGGAAAGCAGGAAAGUCAUCACUGACCCCAAGGAACUGAAAUUCUGCGUCCAAGACCUCAGUGACCAGCUCCUCGAAGUGGUGGGGCUGGAGGGAGCCAUGGAGAUGGGGCAGAUCUACACUGGUCUGAAGAGUGCAGGCAGGAGGCUGGCCCAGUGCUCCUCUGUCACCAUCAGGACAAACAAGCUGCUGCCAAUGCAAGUGGAUGGAGAGCCCUGGAUGCAGCCACCUUGCAUAAUUAAAAUUACUCACAAGAAUCAAGCGCCUAUGAUGAUGGGGCCUCCCCAGAAGAGCAGCUUCUUUUCACUGAGGAGGAAGAGCCGUUCAAAAGACUAAACAACGUGCCAAAUGCCAGUUAAACCAAGAGAGAAAAUAAGAAACUGUAACACACACACACACACACACACACACAUGAACACACACACGCACACACAUGCACACUCAACUCUAACCAGUGGAAGCAAAGCCACCUUCAUGAAGAAAUCUUCAUCUUUCCAUAUACUCUCUCUACUUCAACAAUGGACACACCCCAGCAGAGCCAGUAACCCCAGAAAAUUUUGAAUGGACCCAGGGCCCACCAGGGUGUAGUUGGCUUUUGCAGCAAACGCCACAUUCCCAGAAGGCCUGAGUGGGACUUUCUGACACUGAAGGAGAAAUCCCCCUUUCUUCUCACCGGUCCUGCAAGGUCCCUCAUGGACACUCCCAAGAAGCAGGCUGCAGGUUUCCUGCCUAUGGUGAGAUCGGAUGUGGCCAAGGGAAAGAGCUCCCAUUCCAGAGAACUUACACAAAGGUCCCUCUGUACAGAGACAAACAGCCUCCAACUCUCAGAGCAUAACCCUUGGCAGGGCUCAGCAAGUGCACGUUGGUUUCUUAGUUGUCCUUCAAGCAGCAACUUCUGCCUGAACUUGCUGAGGAGGCAGAAAGCCUGUGGAAAGCUGUGUUUCCAUUCUUGGUUCUCCAUGCUGUCAGUGGGCACUUGUUAUUUUCCCAGAGCCUUCUCCUGGUGGCUGCGUGUUUGUUUGGAGACGGCUCCAAGAGCCCCCAGAGCUGCCUGCACAGCACACCUUAGAUGUGAUGGCAGGAGAUCUGACUAAAGAGAAGAAGGUCCUACAGCAAGUUGCUGACCCAGCUUAUAGCACAGCUGCCCUCUUCCAUAGAAUGGGAAGAAACGACCUUUUGUGCCUCUGUGUACCGUCGUCCUCAACGCUCGAAAACAGGACCCUCCUAUCUUGGAAAAGUCUGACAACUGUUCCAUAGAGGCUGCUGUGCUUCGAAGGGAGCCAUUCCAUGUGCCAGGAUGGUAUGAGGGGUGAAACCCUGCCUGGGAAACAAGAGCAACAUGGGGAGUAGGCUACAGUCCUGUCUCAGCCACAUGGCCUUGGACAUGUCCUUCAGCCUCCUGGGGCCUCUCUUUCUUUGUCUACCAAACAAAGGGGCUCUAAAGACUUUCCCUCUUCAAUGAUCUUGCCUUUACCUGGGGUAAAUGCUGCAGCCAAAGGAGAGGGAGCAGGCCCCUUGUUCUUCUGGGUCUCCCACCAAGACUUCCCCCAGCCCUGCUACCCUGAAGGGCUACUCCUGGCCCCUUAAAGAAUCUUCCCUUCCCUCUUAAGAAUUGAUCAUGCCCAGAAAACAGCAGAUUUGGGGGACCAACAUGAAAAAAACCCUACGAGAAAACUCUGAUAAGUCCUCCACCUUUACACACACACACACACACACACACACA
This is an RNA transcript of Hyaena hyaena (striped hyena), 3760 nucleotides long. It is a transcript of the gene named diacylglycerol kinase gamma, with no coding region annotated. NCBI's taxonomy places the organism in Eukaryota, Metazoa, Chordata, Mammalia, Carnivora, Hyaenidae. The transcript is spliced from 26 exons. The record is from RefSeq and is a predicted model, not a curated record.